UGUGCUGGUUCAACAGCUUAUUAUCAUUUUAUUUGAGCAUGCUACUUAAGUAUCAUUUCAUAUCUAAUGAAACAUCAAUAUCAUGUAUUGAUUAAUAACAUACAACAUUUAAAGCAAGAGGUGUCUGAUCAUGCUGGAGUAUGGAUGUUUCAGGAUUUUUAUGUUUUACCUACAUUGAAAUAUUUGUAGGUUGCAAGAAAAGAAGAAGGUAGUGGAUGGGAUCCCACAUAUACAAGGAGGAGUUUUUUUUCCCAUAUUGGAGAUCAGUGUUACGAACCCGGUGUCCUGUGAAGGUGUAUCCAGUUUAUGCAAGAGCAGAUGCUAGGUCUGGGCGUCAUCUUGAACGGAUCAGUGUCUCUCGGAGUAGCCCAAUGAUCAAUGGAGCUACUCCAAACCAUAAGCUUGGUUUGGUGGGAAGAACCUCAACACUUUCAAGCAAUCUUCAUGCCAAAAGGAGCUUCAGCAUUGCAGCUAUUGGUGCAUUCAGGUUCUUGAAACUGCUAAAGUAUGCAUGAGUAGAAAGGUGCCCUGUGAAUGCUACUCCGUGCAUGUUUCUCCAAUAAUGGGCUGGUUGCUCAUUGUGUUGUGUUUGUUGGUGGAUGUUCCUGAUUAGAUGACAUCGAUGUGGCCGAACCUGUAUUGCUAUGGUCGCAUGUGUUAAUGGUUUAUCUAAUACUUGAA
Panicum virgatum (switchgrass) is the source of this 681-nucleotide long non-coding RNA. RefSeq lists it as uncharacterized. NCBI's taxonomy places the organism in Eukaryota, Viridiplantae, Streptophyta, Magnoliopsida, Poales, Poaceae. The record is from RefSeq and is a predicted model, not a curated record. The transcript has 2 exons.